UGGGGAAUAUUGGACAAUGGGCGAAAGCCUGAUCCAGCCAUGCCGCGUGUGUGAAGAAGGUCUUCGGAUUGUAAAGCACUUUAAGUUGGGAGGAAGGGUUGUAGAUUAAUACUCUGCAAUUUUGACGUUACCGACAGAAUAAGCACCGGCUAACUCUGUGCCAGCAGCCGCGGUAAUACAGAGGGUGCAAGCGUUAAUCGGAAUUACUGGGCGUAAAGCGCGCGUAGGUGGUUAGUUAAGUUGGAUGUGAAAUCCCCGGGCUCAACCUGGGAACUGCAUUCAAAACUGACUGACUAGAGUAUGGUAGAGGGUGGUGGAAUUUCCUGUGUAGCGGUGAAAUGCGUAGAUAUAGGAAGGAACACCAGUGGCGAAGGCGACCACCUGGACUGAUACUGACACUGAGGUGCGAAAGCGUGGGGAGCAAACAGGAUUAGAUACCCUUGUAGUCCCUGAGCGGGCUGGCAAGGCGCAU
RNAcentral lists this ribosomal RNA (472 nucleotides) under uncultured bacterium. Its description in RNAcentral is "bacterial SSU rRNA". It matches the Rfam family "Bacterial small subunit ribosomal RNA", at positions 355 to 825 of the family's 1533-position model. The record is from RNAcentral.